GAUGAACGCUGGCGGCGUGCUUAACACAUGCAAGUCGAACGGAAAGGCCAGUGCUUGCACUGGUACUCGAGUGGCGAACGGGUGAGUAACACGUGGGUGAUCUGCCCUGUACUUCGGGAUAAGCUUGGGAAACUGGGUCUAAUACCGGAUAGGACAACUUUUUGGAUAUUGUUGUGGAAAGCUUUUGCGGUAUGGGAUGAGCUCGCGGCCUAUCAGCUUGUUGGUGGGGUAAUGGCCUACCAAGGCGUCGACGGGUAGCCGGCCUGAGAGGGUGUACGGCCACAGUGGGACUGAGAUACGGCCCAGACUCCUACGGGAGGCAGCAGUGGGGAAUAUUGCACAAUGGGCGCAAGCCUGAUGCAGCGACGCCGCGUGGGGGAUGAAGGCCUUCGGGUUGUAAACUCCUUUCGCUAGGGACGAAGCUUUUUUGUGACGGUACCUGGAGAAGAAGCACCGGCUAACUACGUG
This 468-nucleotide ribosomal RNA is filed under the name uncultured bacterium. RNAcentral describes it as "partial 16S ribosomal RNA". It matches the Rfam family "Bacterial small subunit ribosomal RNA", at positions 28 to 507 of the family's 1533-position model. The record is from RNAcentral.